GGAUAGCUGGGAAGGAGGGGGAAGAGGGAGCCCUGCGGGACAAGCCGACGCCGUCUCCUAGCAACCAGCCUGGACUCGCCGUCACGUGCUGAGUCUCCGGGUCAGGUGGCCCGGCGGCGGGAGCCGGAGCUGGGGGGAGGGGGACGCCCGGGGCGGGGCCGAGAAAGUUUGUUUCCCAACUCUCUCCGGGUAGCUCCAGAGCCCCCGCAGCCACCUCCGCCGCCGCUUGCUUCUCCCUCGCCGGAGCCCGGCCUUGCUCCCGACGCGGCCUGGGAUGGAGCUGCCCGCCGUAAACCUCAAGGCCAUUGUUCUGGUGCACUGGCUGCUGACAACAUGGGGCUGUUUGAUAUUCUCAAACUCCUAUGCCUGGGCUAAUUUCACCGUCCUGGCCCUAGGGGUGUGGGCCAUUGCCCAGCGGGAUUCCCUGGAUGCCAUAAUUAUGUUUCUGGUGGGGCUGGCCAUCACCAUCCUCCUGGACAUCAUCUACAUCAGCAUCUCCUACCCGCACGGAGACUCCCUGAGCGACACGCAGCGCUUCAGCACCGGCAUGGCCAUCUUCAGCCUCCUUCUGAAGCCCCUCUCCUGCCUCUUUGUCUACCACAUGUACCGAGAGCGAGGGGGCGAGUUCAUCCUCAACAUAGGCUCCUUUGGCCCAUCACAGGAGCGCAGCGCAUACCAGACCAUUGACACGCAGGAGGACCCGGCCUUGGCACACCCCUACGCAGACCUGGAGAGCAAGCCGGCCGCUCGGCCAUACUGAGAGCCCCUCCCAUUGCCUCCUUCUCUGUGCUGGGUGUUCAUUCCCAACACCGAAGACUUUCUAAGCCCCUCGCGCUUCCCUCAGAGUUUACAAGCCUCUUGCACCAGGUGGGGUCCCUCCAUCUCUGCCUCUCAGGGGAAGUGAGCUCUUGACCGAUGUUCUCUCCACUCCGAUUGUGACCCACACUCCAGUCUCUCUGCACUGUACUCCCGUGAGAGACCCCCUGCCACAAUGAUGCACUUUUGCUAGGUUGAGUCUGUCUGUCCCCACCUCUGGGCCACACUACCCAGUGCCUGGCUGUGUCAGGGUCAGUUGUGACCGGUGAGGGUAACUGUCCUCCCCAUGCCCCAGGCGGGUAGGGAGCGUUUCCAGGGGCCGGGCACGGGGCAAUGGUGAGGGAAGGGCCACUCCCUCUGCUGCUUCCUCUGACCUGUCCAUGGUUCCCAGGGGCAGCGCUUGGACAGAGCCUCUGAAACACUGCCAUUGCCUUUAUUACCUAACUGCCGAGUUGGCAUUAAAGUUUGUGGAAGAUGCUCCCUGGGCUUUCUGUGUUGUACAGCCAUUCCCAGGCCCCGGCACACUCCCCUGGCUCCAGCCCGGCACCAGGCCUGCUUUGGUGCUGGGAGGAUGGGCCCAUUCCCAGAGGAGAGACUUCCAGGUGUUUUUCUUGCAGCCAUGAGGGAGGUUGUACCUCAGCAGGGGAAGCCUUCAUCAGGCUGGCCCUCAGCCCUGCCUGAGCCAGGUAGCCCCACGGCCUCAGUGGGAAGGGUCCCCCUCGGGCACGGGCUACUUGGGCUGACGUGCCAGACCACCAGCUAUGGCUCAGGCCUUUGGCUCACCCUUCUGUUCGAGAGCAGCCUGGAUCGCCAGCAUCCAUUCAUGGUCACCUUCGCUUCUCCAAAGGGAGGACAGGAAGAAUGGAAUGGGGCUGGGUUCCCUCAACUUUUUCAAGCCUUCCCAGACCACAAAUGGCCUUCAGCCUUAUUCUUACCCAUGGCAGCAGUUCAUUAGAGCCUGAGAAAUUCUAGUCACUCACCCAGGGAGGCAGCUAAGGAGCAGGAGGAUGGGGGGAGCUUGAGGGCAACUGUUGGAACCCCUGGGUACCCACAGAGGCUUCUAAGUGGCCCCCAGGGCAGCUGCCGCCAGCUGUUCAACUGAAGGGGAGGGGAGCAAAGUUUUUUACUCAAAUGAAUUUAUUAAAUAGUACUACAGGCAGAGCAGCGUGUGAGCUGCUGGACAAAGAUAGCUCUCUGGGCCAAGGGUCCUGCCGUCUAAUAAGGGGAAAGAUGAUACAGGGAAAGAUCCAGGCAGAAUGCUGGGAGAUAGGGGAAAGGACAGCAUCACUAGCCCAGCAGAAGGGUGGGGUGCCCAGGCUGGACUUUGUGGGCGUGGGCAGAGGCACUGCUGUGUGGCCUAGGUAGAAAAUAUUUGAAUGGGGGAAUUGAAAGGGAGCUAGAUUGUGGUGAGCCUAGAAUCCCUACAAUUAACAAACUGGAGAGCCAGCCACUGAAAGUUGGUGGAAGUAGAGAAUCGAGGAGAAUUUAGAGGUGGAGAGAAUCAUUAUCAUAAAUCUAGAAGCUUAAGUGGAGCCAGGAUCCCCAAUCAUGGGAUCCAGGUGUUUACCCAACCACUGUGUGGUACAGUGGAGUCAAAGAACACCAAUCCCGAUUCUGUUCCUUGCUGUAAGUGAUCUUGUGUAGGUCACUUAACCUGUGAAUCUCCGUUCCCUCAACCAUAGAAUGAAGCAGAUAACCAAGGUCUUCUCUAUGAUUCAUGAACUCACUUAGUGUAGGGGAUAUCUGAGCUAAGGGCUUACAAGCCCCUAUGUAAGGACAGGCAAAUUUGGAUGGGAAAAACUUCUCUCCCAAAUGAAAUUUAGCACUUUUAGAAACAUUCUGUGACCAGAAAGUGAAGAAGCCCAAUAUAUAUUAAUGCAGGAAGCUCAGAUGGGAAUGAGUCCAGGGCUCCACAAUGGCUGAUUUCUGGCCUGCUGGGGAGUGACCAGAUGUCAGGCGUGGGGAUGGGGCAGCUGGAGGGUUCCAUGAGGCGGCACAGUUAGUGUGGAGACCUAACUUGCCAGGAGGCCAGACUCCCAUCCUCUGGCUUCUAGUUCUUAUAUAAAAGGAGACUCUCCCACAUGGUCUCUGAAGUCUGAAAUAUAGUCUCACAGAUCCACGCUAUCCAAACCCUCCACUUUACAAAUGAGCAAACUGAGGCCUAGAAAAGGGAAAUGACCGUCAGGAUCCCAGGGGCACCUGGGUCUGGACCCGUCCUAGCUCUCGGGGACAGAGACUUACCGGGCAAACACCUACGGGGCCGAGUCGUCCAGAUUGGAAGGAGACCAAAGCAGCCGAGCAGAGGCUCCCCUCCGGCCCCUCUCUGCCCUCGGACUGGGCACUAGAGCUGAGGGCCACAUCCAGCGCCCGGUGGAGACUGGGAUUGCGGCGGGCUCGGCGCUACCUAUAAAAGACGCGUGACCCUUCACAGUCGGGCGUGGGCAGGCGCCCGGGACUGGGUUUGCGGGACGCAUUGGCCCUGGGAAAGUGCACUCGGCUCCAGCUCGGGAAGGGAUUUAGCGGGGCUCCCUCUGCCGAGAUUUGUCCAACCGGCGCCCCCAAUCUCUGCCCGGGGCCAGCUCCUGCAGUGGACGGAGCCGGAGCCUCCCUGUCCUGGCGUGCCCCGGCCCAGGCGGCCGGCGCCCCGCCCCCUCCCACCCGGGGCCGCGGGGCGCGAACUUGAACUAGCGACGGCAGUCGUUACUCUGACACGCGAAGAAGCCGGGCCUCCGAGGGUCCCGAUCUCCCAGCCUUCUCCUUAUGAGAUCUGAACAGUUUAUGAUCUGCUGGCCAUCACUGCUACCUGGAAAGACCACUCUGACAGAGGCACCUGUCCUAGACUAAGGACCUUCUGGGGACAUUUCCAACCUAGACCCCAUGGAGGCCAAUCGGAAGGAGAAUAUUCCACCCUGGCCAGGAGGCCCCCUGAAAUCAGACCGACAGCUGGUUCCGAAGAACGUGAACAUCGGCCUCUCUGUGGGCAGCGGGCGAGCUACCAUGGCGGGGUCUCGCUCUCCCAUCAAAACUCAGAGGCAGAGUCCAGCCGCUCCUCCAGGCCAAGGCCUGCAGCUGGAAGGGCCUGUAGCCAGCAGCCAGGAGGCGAGGUACCUCUCCUCUGGGGUUCAGACCAACCUGGCUCCUGUGGGCCAGUCCCUGCCCAGGGCCGCCGGCCUGGUGAGUAACUCUUGCUUUGAGCAGCAGAGCAACCUGUGGCUCCAAGCCCGGAGGCCCAGGGCAUCUGGGAAGUGGACAGGGCUUUCCUCCCAGCAAAGCAACGUGGAGCUGAGCAGAGCAGACCCAGAGAGGAGAGGGGGAGCCAGGAGCCCCCACCUAAAGGAGCCGGCCUGGAGCCUGGGGGGCUGCUCGUGGGAGCUCUUGUGGUCCGGACAUUCUGGAGGCGUCCCCUGGCCCUCCGGGUCAGACAGCCAGACCCACAGGCUCCCGUUGCUGAGGGACCGACCAUCAUCUUCCUUCCCCGGCCCUGGGAGCACCGUACACAUCUCACCAAAAGCCACAAAAGCCUGGGGGUCCAAGCGGAGCCCUUCCCCUCCAUCUGGCCAUCAGGGUUGUCUUGUCCAGCCCAGCACAAGUUACCUGGGUUACUGGGCCCCAAACUCCACCGAGCAAACCCUCCCCUUGGAGGACCUGACCCUCUCAGGCCAGUGCCGGCAAUCAUCUCAGCCUCCGGUCUUGGAGCCCAGAGCUGAGUUUUUCCCAGACUCGGCCCACCUGCGCUUGUCCAUGAGGAGCCUCCGAUGGCCAUCAGAGGAGCUCCUCCUCAGAGCCCCCCAGGAGCACUCCAGACCCUGGCCCUGCUCCAGCUGGGCCAUUUCUCCAGGGGCCUCACUAACCUCGACUCUAGGGCACCCCAGCCCCCUAACCCAUGCUUGUGGGACUGUGCCUCCAGAAGCUACCCCUCGCCUGGCACCUGGGCACCCCAGUCCCUGCAGGGCUGUGCCUCCAGAGGCUACUCCUUACCUAACACCUGGGCACCACAGCCCCCUUACCCACCCUGGUGGGACUGAGCCUCCAGAGGCUACCCCUCACCUGCCACCUGGGCACCCCAAUCCCUGCAGGGCUGUGCCUCCAGAAACCAUCCCUCACCUGGCACGAGGGUAUCCCAGCCCCCUUAGCCAUCCUUGCAGGGCUGUGUCUCCAGAGGCUAGCCCUUACCUAACAUCCGGGCACCCCAACCCCCUUACCUGCCCCUGCAGGGCUGUGUCUCCAGAGACUGCCCCUUACUUAACACCAGGGCACCCCAGCCCCCUCACUCUCUCCCACAGCGCUGCAAGUCCAGAGGUUCUCCAGAAUCUGACAAUGGGGUACCCCAGUCCCCAUAUUUUUUCUGACAAGACCUUAACUCCAGAGGCAUCCCCCAAACUGGCACCAGGAUACUCCAGCAGGACUAAGGCUCCAGAGGCCUCCCCCAGCCCGACGUCGGAGUCUCCUACCCUCCUCCCUCUCUCUUACCAAGGCUCCCGAGUAGACAGGGGACAGCGACUGACAGACACUCAGCUGGAGGGACAUUUGUGGCAAAUCUGGCAUCGCUGGUGUCCCCAGGGCACAAAUACCCCUCUCCCGGGCCAGGCGGAAGGGACUGCUCCUGCCCACUGGAAAAGUCCAAGAGAAGGAGCCUUCUCAGGCCCUGAGGGUAGUUCCGGGCCAAGCCUCCUGCAGAGUGCCAUUCCUGGUCCCUGCCCCCCUGGGGGGGAAGGCAGACUGGGCCCGAGGACCUGUCUUUCAGCCUCCCCUUCUAUUGGGGCGCAUCCAGCCCAGCAGCAGAUGGAAAAGGCUCUUUGGCCCAGGGAACGGGAAGGUCCCUGGAUGGAACGGGGCCUUGCUGAGAGCCAUAGGGCAAGAAGCCGGGACAGGAGGGAGCAACACCUGGCAGUCGGGGGCCCACAGCAAAAGCUGGGGCUAGAGAAGAAGUCAUCCAUAUCUUUACUCUCGGAGACCAGGGAAUCAAGGGCCCUGCUCAGCUGCUGCUUCAAAGCCUGGCACUGCCACCUGCUGAGACAGCGGGCUGCGGCCAGGGCGCUGAGGAGGAGACAUCUGCUGCGGAAGGGCCUCCGCGCCAUGCGCUGGGCCUUAUGGCUCCGGGAAGCCCAGAUGGAGUUCAUGAAGAGGAAGCGGAGGCGGACUGUGCUGGCCGGGAGCUUCCGAAAGUGGAAAGACCUGUAUAUGAACAGGAGAAAAAGGAAGCUGCUGACUCAGUGCAGGACAGCUACUCCUGAGAAAGACUUUCUCCUCUUCUUGGAAAGCCCACGGGAAAGAUCCUUUGUCACUCUAGGGAUGGUUUGUGGAAAUGAGGGAGCACCAAAGAAUCAGCUCCAUCCCAGGUGGAAAACAGGCAGCCAGGACCCCAGGGCUCCGGCCACUCCAGACCUCCAGUGGCUGGCUGGUGAGUGGAUGUUAGGAAAGGAGGAUAUUCAGGGAAAGGAGGGGACCACAGAAGCUGGGGUCAGCGAAGCUAUACCUUUAGCCUUUUUGCAAAUCAGGGCCCAGACUUCCCUCCAUAAGGGUCCCCAAGACUUUUUCAGGGGGUUCACAAAGUCAAAAUUAUUUCCAUAAUACUAAGAUAUUUUAAUUUCUAAUACUGUAAAUAUGGAUAAAUAUAACCCAUAUAAACCAAAACUCUUUGAAAGAUCCUCAAUAAUUUAAUGGUAUAAAAAGGUUUGGAGAGCAAAACUUUGAGAACCACUGCACCGUGACAGCCCCUAAGAGCAAGAGUUUAAGGGAGGGUGUCAAAGUCUCCAUAAAGGUGGUUUCGACAGCCUGACACCAGAUGGGACACCUCCAUGAACAAGAGCACUGUUUCCCCAUUGUGUGGCAGUUCCAAAACUUUGUUGGCCCUAAAUUAUUCUGCUUUGCAUGGGCAGUGGUACCCAUCAACAAAUUAGAAUGAGUGAAAAAAAUUAAAAAAGAAAAGAAAAACAAAUAAAAAAAAUUAGAACGAGUGAAUCCCUGUAGUUUCUGGUUUGGGAAGUCAGGCCCUCAGGGUGGAUUAUGGUCCAUGUGAGCCGAGAACUCUUGGACCUCCGGGUAUAGUUUUACAGAAAUUGGGCUAUUUCAUAGCAGUCUAGGAUGAUAUUUUCAGAUGCUGCCAUUUAUAAAUUUAAGCUAGUAUAAAUGACUGUCCUAUACAGCAGGACCCCACACAGGUCCCAGUGAAAAACAUUUAUUGGGAAGAGAAUCUGACCAAAAAACUAGACCCCAGAUUCACUCCGGGUCUAAACCUUGGCCAAGACAGUUCACCUCAAUUUUUUCCAUGGUGUGGUGAAUAGAACCCUGAGUUUGGAUUCAGGAGAUCUGGAUUCAAACCCUGCUUCUGAUACUUCCUAGCUGAGGAAAAGUAGGUCACUCACUGCACAAAG
This 7190-nucleotide long non-coding RNA is filed under the name Sarcophilus harrisii (Tasmanian devil). RNAcentral's name for it is "lncRNA (ENSSHAG00000025395.1)". The record is from RNAcentral. Lineage: Eukaryota; Metazoa; Chordata; Mammalia; Dasyuromorphia; Dasyuridae.